UGGAGUCCUCUGUUCUCUGGACCUCUUUUUUCCCAGAGCCUACUCCUGCAAGGAUUCUUAGGAAUAUAGCUCAACUGAGAGUGAAGGAGACGGUGCUUGGCGGCCCUGCCUGCCUCUUGGGGAAAGACCGUUCCUGUGCUGAGGGAGCUCGUAAUGUCCCCCCAUCAUCCUGUACGUGCAGGAGAACCGUGUCCUGCUUAUACAUGAAGCCGGAGGAAGCUUUGCUCUGCUGCAGAGAGC
RNAcentral lists this long non-coding RNA (240 nucleotides) under Dasypus novemcinctus (nine-banded armadillo). Its description in RNAcentral is "lncRNA (ENSDNOG00000051479.1)". Lineage: Eukaryota; Metazoa; Chordata; Mammalia; Cingulata; Dasypodidae. The record is from RNAcentral.